Ylistrum balloti is the source of this 1558-nucleotide long non-coding RNA. RefSeq lists it as uncharacterized. Lineage: Eukaryota; Metazoa; Mollusca; Bivalvia; Pectinida; Pectinidae. The transcript is spliced from 3 exons. The record is from RefSeq and is a predicted model, not a curated record.
UUGAUACAAAAAAGUGCAUGUUGAAAUAGGUAAGCCUUGCCCGGCCUAGGUUACUAGAAUCAUUGCAUUACAUUGUACCUCAACUCCAUCUUGUUUGUCCAAAGACAGAAGAUCAGUUAUGAAACUUCCAUCAAAAUACAAAGUUUACGAUUUCUUGAUGUUAGCUGGGAAUAGCUUCUUUGCUGGGUCAACAUUAAUCUUUGCAGGAUUAACCUUCUAUAAAAUGUUCCAAUUUAAAACAAAAAGAGUUCCUGAAAUAGAGGAAGAAGUGAGACUAUUCAAGGAAGCUCAAUUAAUGAAAGAACAGGUGGAGAGAGAAUCUAUGUUGAUGCGGAAUGUUCAAACCAACAAAGACUAAUAAUGUCCUUGUCCUAUAAUUAAUUUUUGAUAGAUUUUGAUAUUUUCCAACAUGGAAAAAUUACAUAACGUAAACAAUUUUUUAGUGUUGUAAUAUAUCAAAAUGUUAUAAAUGUUUAUUAGUUGAGAGUGACAUGAACGAUUAUGCUAGUUUAUCAGUUGAGAAUGAUGUGAAAGAUUGCAGUAAUGUUUGUGAUUUUUUGAAUUGUAAAUAUAAUGUGCCAAUUUGCUGAGUACAGUUGUCUGAAUUUUCAUGCAUAGACUUCCCUUUCUCCAAUAUUUCCUGUAUGAAUUACAGAAACCUUUAGAGAACCAUGAACUUUAUGAUCUAGAAACUUCUUUAUGAAGCAUUAUUAAAAACAUAGGUUAUCAAAUGUUUCAGAGAAAUUCUCUGAUAGGCUUUGUAAAACAAAAAGUGACGAGCCCUUGAUACAAUGUUGUAAAGGGGAUUAAAUUGUGAGAAGGGAAGUAACUUGUUUUGUGGACCUUCCUUUCAAAAAAAACACUUGUGUGAAUGGUCAAAAUGUGUUUAGUUGUUCUAUGUUAUUAAAUCAGAAGUGACAAAAUGUCGGCCAUUAAGAAAGCAGAGUCCAUCUGGACAGGUUGCAAUUUCAACUGACAGAAAUUGUGUAAGUGAAAGAGCAUGUACAUUUUUUUAAUAGUAUGUGUGCAAGAUUUUUUUUUAUUCUAGCACGGAGAGAGAGUGUAUUGAGAAAUAUGUAUUUAAAAAAUUGUCAAACUAAUUAUGUCUUUCCUUGUAUUGGGAGAACUUUUCAAGUUAUGUACUGAUCUAAUGAAGCAGCUUAUGAAGGAAUGCAAGAAUGCAGUGAUUUCAUGUUGAGCUGAAGAGCAUGAAAAGAAAAAAAGAAAGGAAAAUGAUAAUCACAGAUUAAAUACCAUAUAUUUACCCAUUAGUAAGUCUAGGAUACCAGUAUGUAAACUCAAUUUGAAGUAGAUGGACAUAUUGCAGGGCAAUAAAAUUGUGUUUGUGUGUAAUUUUACAGAGUGACAAAGGAAAGGAUUGGAUUUGUUAAAGACCUUUCUGUCAGAUCAAUAUGUUGAAUACACUUACUAUCACAGUAGUUGUUAACAACAAUAAUAUCAUCACAUUCAUUAUUCACAAGAUCUUCAUAAAAUGUCUGUAAUUAACAUGGCAGAAAAUCUGUUAUGAAAUUUGCUAUUAAAUGUGAUGUUGGAUGAA